Molecule: long non-coding RNA, 415 nt
Filed under: Setaria viridis
Lineage: Eukaryota; Viridiplantae; Streptophyta; Magnoliopsida; Poales; Poaceae
Description: long non-coding RNA (SVIR_LNC004550)
Source: RNAcentral
GGGUAUGAUGAUUCAAAGUUUAAAAGGGCUGAUGGUUUUGGGCUUGGGAAUCUUAUCAAGAAGUGUAGAUUUAAUGGGUUGUAUGAAAAGAUUUUUGAUGGGUUGGAUGAGAAGGUUGGUUAAUACAGUGGUGAGAGAGAGAAACAAGCAACCUCCACCCUAGUGAGCCAUCUAAACUGAGUGAAGAUAAACCCAGUGCAAAAUGUGAGAAAAACCUCUCUGGGUGCGUUCGAGAUGGAGUGUUCAUUGAGACACCAUCAAAAAUCUGAAAGAAAGCCAUUUGGGUGCAAAAACCAAAUUACCUCAAGAACAAGCUUGACACGCUCCCUGAUAUGACUCCAAAACAUCCCCCCCAAAACCCAAAGCCAAGACACAACCAAGUGUGAAUCCUCAACCCAAAAUAAACCCUCUGCCC